UACGAAGGGGGCUAGCGUUGCUCGGAAUCACUGGGCGUAAAGGGCGCGUAGGCGGCUGUUCAAGUCGGGGGUGAAAGCCUGUGGCUCAACCACAGAAUGGCCUUCGAUACUGGACGGCUCGAGACCGGAAGAGGUCAGUGGAACUGCGAGUGUAGAGGUGAAAUUCGUAGAUAUUCGCAAGAACACCAGUGGCGAAGGCGGCUGACUGGUCCGGUUCUGACGCUGAGGCGCGAAAGCCAGGGGAGCAAACGGG
RNAcentral lists this ribosomal RNA (253 nucleotides) under uncultured bacterium. RNAcentral describes it as "partial 16S ribosomal RNA". It matches the Rfam family "Bacterial small subunit ribosomal RNA", at positions 524 to 776 of the family's 1533-position model. The record is from RNAcentral.